AGAGGUGCCGGUUCGGCAGAGACGUCGGGUUUUAAAGUUGAAGCUGCUCGCCGUGACGGUCCGUCCCCACGGACUCUCGGGGAGAGCCAAGGACGGGAUCGGUUUCCCCCGCAGCUCCGGAAGGCGUCUUUGAAUUUCUGCUGACGGGUCACUGAUCACCGGUGUCAUCUCACUCCGCUCUCACUCCGCCGGGCAGCCGAGGGCUCCAGACGCGUUUUUAGACGAAGUUCCUGAGCCGCCGGUCGGCUGUCGGUGUUCACCGUGCUCGGGGCCCGAGCCGGAGUGGCCCCCACCCUCGCUGGCAGCGCGGACAGCGCCCCCCCGCCCGGCCCUCCC
RNAcentral lists this long non-coding RNA (336 nucleotides) under Lepisosteus oculatus (spotted gar). RNAcentral describes it as "lncRNA (ENSLOCG00000023022.1)". Lineage: Eukaryota; Metazoa; Chordata; Actinopteri; Semionotiformes; Lepisosteidae. The record is from RNAcentral.